RNA transcript from Cavia porcellus (domestic guinea pig), 17981 nucleotides. It is a transcript of the gene named small integral membrane protein 41, with no coding region annotated. The transcript has 4 exons. The record is from RefSeq and is a predicted model, not a curated record. Lineage: Eukaryota; Metazoa; Chordata; Mammalia; Rodentia; Caviidae.
CAGCGGGGGUGGGGUGUGGGGGUGUGGGAGGGUGGACAGUCUUCCUCGUGAGGACAGGUCUCUGGGUGUAGCCAGGCACCCAGGGGAGACAGCCUUCAGUAAGGCUGAGCUCCCCAAUCCCAGUCAGUUUGAGGAUUGGGGCUACAGCUUCCUGUUUGGAUGUGCUGCCUCCUCAGGGUUGUCUCGGGCAGCAUGGAGUCCCUUUCCACUUAAGGAUCCCCCAUUUCUAUGUCCUUUUUCUAGGAAUAGAUAGCUACUAUGUAACUGGAAGAGGGGACAGUGGACAGGUCAAAGUGGAGAGAGUUUGGGGGCUACAGUGUGCUUUGGAUCCCUUCUUCCCUUCACCCCUCUAAUCACUGUGACUGCCCUGUCCCUGAGGUACUAAGGGACAACCCCCUGGCCUCAGUACUGCAUUUUGCACUAGAGGUUGGGGAGAGACGGCUACAGACAUCUUCAGAGUAGGGAGUGUGGCCUGCUCAGGUCUGGAGGACAGAUGUCACCCAGAGCAAGGAGCUUUGUGUGGCAUAAGUUAGAGGUGUGUGAUGGCAAGAUUGCUGCCAGCUGGCGCGCCUCAGGAGCACAUUGCUCCAGGAAGUGGGACUAAGGAGUCCCAGCUGCGGAGCUGUGUCUGACUCUUUUACCCCGGCUGUUCAGAGACAGGAACCAUCUGGAAGGAAGGGCCUGGGUGGCCCAAAGGACAAGGUUCCUGAGCCAGGCCUGGUCUGCCUUCGGGAGUGCUGCCCGCUAGCUGCCCUCCGGAGAGGACUUCUGCUACCUUCAACCCAUUCACCCUACAGAUGAUGACUGGGAAGCAUCUGGACUGUGGUGACUCAUCCUAGGGCUGCUGCCCCUGAGCUGUUCCCUGUGACCUUCUGAAGUACAGUUGGGUAUGGGCCUGUGUGGUCUGGGCCCUAGGAAUAGUUGGGGACUGCUGUGUGUCUCCCGGGAAGUGGCCACAUACCCUUGGCGUUCAGAGAAGGAGAUGUAGAUUGUGGCCUCUGUUCACCAGGCCUCUGUGGACAUGAAUGCAGCCGCUACCUGCCUGGUGUGGGCAGCACUGAUGUGAGAGGUCGAUGACAUAUCCCUGCUGUGGGCUAUCGGUCAGUACCAUCCAUUUGGAAGCCCAGGGUGCCAAAACAAUCCUGUAAUUCCCCAUCACUUUCUAUGGCUUCUUAUUAAAUAAGCUGCUAACGCAAGUCUCUGGUAUACAAUCUGUGUUUCUAGCCUUUGACACUUCGUUUUGUUUUUUUGAGACAGGAUCUUGCUAUGCAGUUUGGCUGGCCGUGAACUCUAUAGUCCAGCUGGCCUCGAACUCAUGGUGAUCCUCUCUCAGUUUCCUUAGUGCAAGGAUUAUAGGCAUAUACCACCUUGCCUGGCCUUGGAUCUGUUUCCACCCUCGCUUUGUGAAGGUGAGUGUGAAAUGGGACACAAAGUGACUUGUGCCAGCACUUCGUUGCUUCUCUGUGGCCAGUAUGAGAAAAAGCACUGCUCCCUUCAGAGUCUGGCCUGAGGCUGGUGCUGAGAUGAGAGCACUUUGUUUGUGUCUGUGCACUCAGUUUCAGAUUGUAGACUUUCCUGAACCUCAGUCUCUCCAUCCAUGAAGUGGGAGCAACAAUGUUCAGGUGAGGAGCCAAUAGAUAAGGUUUGUCCAUUGAUGAGACUUUCUGUACUUUUGUUACCAUGUGACCUUGUUACUGUUUUUCUGGAACCUGACCAUCUGCAAAGAAGAGAAGGGGAGAGAAAGGAACAGAGCUGUGGAACCACCCACUCUGUUCCUGCAAGCACUUGAUUUUUAUCCCUUCCAGGAGGACCUAGUGAGUCCAUGCUCCCCUUGAAAAAAAGUGAUCAGCCCUGCUGUCACAGAGCUCACAGUCAUAAAAAACAGGGCACACAAGAUGGAAGUUAAAGUGGGCUAUAUAAUGUGCCCAGAUGAGCGCAGAGGGGGAGCUCGGCUGGGAGCUGCCUAACCAGAGGCGGGGCAGUAAGGAGUGGGGCUUGUCCAGGCAAGAGGGAACAAGAGCACUGUGGGCAGAGGGGGCUUCAGCAGUUGGUAGUUAGAGUGGAAGGAACAGGAGACCUCGGCAAUGAAUGGGGCUGGCAUGGCCUGGAGCUGGAGGGUGUCCCAGGGAUAGCUAGGUGACUGGAGGCUUUCAAGCCAGGAAGUGCUGUGGUAAGAUCUGAAUCUUCCGUGGCAGAGGUAUAUUUUGGGGUGGAAGCAGCUAGAAGUAAAGAGGCAGCCAGAUCGAGUCCCCAGAGCUUGGGAUGCAGGCUGUGGUUGCUGGCUGGAUAUGAAGGAGGAAGCAGAGGCGGGGAGGAGGAUGCCCUGGUUUCUGGUCUGAAUACUGAGUGGACGGUGAUGUCUUGCACCGAUGAUGUGUUAUCGGUUAGGAAUUUUGUGGUCUGAAUUUGCAGGAAACCCAAACUAUUUGACUUAAACAGGAGGACACAGGAGGGAGUUGAUUAACCUGUAUAAUUCAAACGGAUAAGGGUAGUUCUGGCCUCAGGCCUGGCAUGAUUUAGGGCCCAAAUGGAAGCAGGCCCUAAUUUUUCCUUCCCUAGCUUGAUUCUGCUUGCCUCUAUGUCUGCUUUGGGUAGUGUUGUCUAAUGGUUGCGAUCAAGGAUUCUAACAAAAGAUGAGACAUUUUAAGUGGCGCAUGCCUAUAAUAUAAGCACUGAGGGAAGCUGGGUUUGGGGCCCAUCUGGAGAAAUAAAUGAGACUCUGUCCCAAAAUUUAAAAAAAAAAGGGUUGGGAAGGGGUUCAACGGUAGAGUGUGCCUCCCAGUUCAAUCACAGUACAGUGGCACCUUGGUUCAGGAACUUAAUUUGUUUUACAAUUUGGGGGAAGGUGGCUAUGUUUCUGUUUGUGUGAGGAAGAUGGCCAUAGUUGUGUUUGCUACCUAAUGUGCAAUUUGUGAACAGAAGCAAAGUUUUGUUGAUCUCAUUUGUUUGAGAGCCAAAUUGCUGGGGCCAGGGAUAUAGCUCAGCAUCCUCAGUGCCUGUGUGGCAAGCACAAGGUCAUGAGUUCAAUCCUCAGUACCCCCCGAAAAAAAAACAGGAAACAAAAAACAAAACCAAAUUGUUUGCAAGUACAAAUGUUCCUGAACUGGAUUCAGGUUUUGACACCACAUUUAAACUAACAAUAAAAUGGCCAGGUGUGGUGAUGCACACCUCUAAUCUUCAAGUUCAAGGCCAGCCAGGUCUGCAUGGUGAGUUCAAGGCCAAUCUGAACUAUGCAGUGAGACCUUGUCUCAAAAAAGAAAAAGAUAAUAAAGUUCCUGAGCAAGGUCCUAAAGCUCUCUUAUAGCUUAAUUUCCUCAUUUUCAGAUUGGGGAAUUACAGGACCUGGCUUGUCCAUCUGUUACUGGAAUGGACAGAGACUGACGUGUGCAGAGUGCAAGUGCACAGUGCAUGUCAGUGGUACUGGUCUCAUGGACAUUGGAUUUAUGGCCUCUCAGCUUCAGGUCUAUCAGGAAAGAGGUGCUGGGGGGACACCCCCAACUACAGGGUCCAACUCAGAGGUACAAUUCCUCAGCAUACCUGUACUUGUCCAGUCCUGGAGCAAACAGGUAGGUGCUAGAUGGCCAUUAACCAACGCAUAGCUGCUGCAGAGGGGACACAGGCAGGGGGUGGCCAAGGAAAGCAGCUCUGGUGCACUGAAUUUGAGGAAUGUCCCAGGGAGCUGUUAGGUGGACAGGUAGUUUAGAGGGCUGGAGCUCAGCAGAGGGAUUUGAACCUUGAGGUUUCAAGAGAUGAAAGCGUGGAAUGGAUCAAGGUUGCUAGGGCUGCAGCCUGGGCCACUGACCUAUUUGACUACCACUUAAAUAAAGGCAGAGCAAGGGGUAAGGCUGACCAGGAGAUGGAGGAAGCCAGGGAUGGGUUCCUCAGUGAGUUGGGGGAGAGAGGUUUUCAGAGACAGGGAGGUUGGUCUGGAGUAUUAGUGUCCCCAGCAGUUCUGGGAUGGUGGGAAAGGGCCCACAGUUGGGUUCCUCCUUGGAGAAGCUAGUACCUGAGCUAUACACCAUUAUGGCUUUCAGCUCGACCUCAGAGGAAGAAGCCCUCACACAGGAGAAAGUGGUAACGUGGUCCCCCAGGGCUGAAGAAUCCACUGUGGGAUUUAUUUUCUUUAUAGUUCUUCCCUUUAUAUUGUGCUAAUGCUAUACCAUGCACUUGUCUCACCUAGGCAAAGUAAAAGCCAAAACCAGAAGAAAAAGGUAUCGCUUCCUACUUCUGGCCACCAGCCUUUCCUUGCAGUUGGAGAGGCUACAGCUGUGUACCCCACUGGUGUGGCUCCUCUGUCCACUGUGUCCUGCUCAGGGCCCCCUCUGCCAUACACACACACCUUUGAGAACCCUACUUCAUGUGCUGUGCCUGACACCCACUCCUGUUCUUUCAGCCUGCUCAGGCAGAUGUGUUUGUUAGGGUCACUUGACAUGUGGCCUUUGCUUUCUCCCUGUCUCCCAGACCAUUUCUGCGCCUUCCAGUUUAGAUUCCAGGAGCAUUCUUUUGCCCAUGUCCUAACUUCACUUCCCUGUAGAAUUACCCUUAUAAAACCUGAGCCGUGCAGUGUCCUGUUCUUUGACCUUGUACUCUAGGCAGAUUGAUGUUUGCAGGAAUGGUCACGUAGGCCCCUGGGACUGUUGCCACUGCUUGGCCAUGGUGCCAGCAGCUCUCUGUUUCUCAGCUGUCUUCCUUCAAGCUUUUCCCAGGCUCAGACCCUGAGCAUCCUGCCCCCUAGAGCUCUGCUCAGACCCUUCCCUCCUGCUUCUUAGGGAAAAGAGAAGCCAGUAAGGAGGGCUGUGCUCCCACCGCUGUACUCCUCCUGCCCCAGCCUGCCCUCCUAGCAUCCUCCCGAUGCUGCUUUAAUGGCUCCUCUGCUGGCUCUAGCAUCAACACACACUCAGGUUUCUUCUGUCUUAAAAUAGCUUUCUUUUGCCCCCACUGCUCCUCCAGUUACUCUCCUAUCGCCAAGCUUCUCGGAGCUGCCUUGCUUGCCACCCCUGUUUAUUGGCCUCCAACUUGUCUCUUGGUCCUCCCCAGCCUGGCCUCCACCCCUCUCUGCCUGAUUACCCCUCUCCACCAAAGCCUGGGACAGCUUUUCAAUCCUUGUCUUAGUCUCUCCUGGCCGCUUCUGCUGUGCUGACCUGUCCAUCAUCCUUGCGAUGCUUCCCCUGACUUCUGUGAGAAGCAGCCUCUGCGCUCUCUGUGGUCAGCAGUAGGAAACUGUAAUAACGCACUCAGUGGGACUCAGAUGAUGAGGUGUGUGCUUUUGAGUCUAGGCACCUGACCUUGAGCCCUGCAUGGGUUUAGUCCGGGUUCCCCAGCUGUUAGGUUGUGCCCCGGGGAGUCUUGGUUUGCCUUCUGCCUGCCUUUCCUCUCUUUCUCCCAGCACUUCUUCCCAAGUCCUCAGGGCUCUGCACAGAUCUACCUUCUUGCCUGCCUCUUUCUGGCACUGGGCUGGCCCUCUCUGUGCCUGCAGCUCUGAAGUCAGCAGCCUGCCUGGCCCGGCCCUUGAGUGUCCAUUCUGCAGAGCCCUGUGGAGCAGGGCGCUGGAGUGGAGAACAGUGAGAUCCCUUCCCUGAGGAGCCCUGUGUUCUGGUGCCAGGGGACAUUCGAUGGACCUGUAAAAGAAGACAUGAGUAAGCCCUGGGGACCGGGAAGUAAGAAAGUACUCUGGACGGAACAACGGGGACCUCGGGAUCAGGACUGGUGCCUUGCAGAUGUGGAAAAGCUUUUUCUCCAUCUCAUUAGUUUGAGCUUUUCCCCCUGUGAUGCUCAGACAUCAACCAGGCUAGAGCCGGCUGAAAAGGAACUGAGGCAUGUAGGCCUGGUCAUUCUGUCUUCAUCUUGAAGCCCGGCCCCCGGCAGAUGCGCCUCCAGCCACAGCUGUACUGUGUUCUCACCUUCUGCACUGACUCCUCCAGGGCCCAGCUCCGUCCGCUGAGGACUGUCUGACUGCCUAGACUAUUUCUGCUGUGAUACUAGGGCCAAACAUUCAUUAGAGUCACAAAUCCCAGCCAGCGCUUGUGAGACUUGACCGAUGGCUGAUGUUUGCUGGAAGGUCACAGACCAUUCUUUUCAUGGGACAGCCACCCCUACAAGGCAUGCGAGAGCUCAGAUCCUAGUGUGCUGUGAGUUUGGGAAGCCCUCACUGAACCGUACUGGGGGACAAUUUGCAGCCAUGGUUGUCUUCCCCAUUUCUCCCCACCCUUUACCCAUCAACCCCUCACCAGUGUUGUUCUAUCCAAGAAGAGCUGUCCCUCAAAGUCUAUUCUAGCUUCCUGCACAGACCUCACAAAUGGGGUUAGAACCUCUCACCUCCGAUUGGCUGAGCAGGUGAACAGGGACCCUCAUUUCUUGGGGGUGGGAUGGACACAAGAGCCUGAGCAGGCAGACCAGGAUUUGAGAGUGGCUCUGGCCUCACUGCUUCUGAGCCCAGAGGCAGCUUUGCCUAUGUCUCUACAUCUCAGUUUCCCCUUCUGUAAAACAGGGACUAGGCUGAGUCCCUUGCGAGGUGUUGCCCUCUUCUGUCAACUGCUGUAGGUCAAGUAGCCUUGAAGCAUCUCCAUGCAGUUGGACACGAGGCCCAGGUGAGUCUUAGGAGACAAAGCAAGGACAUUUCAUGGUCUCAUGGGGAUGUUAGUUAGUCUACAGCUUUGCCUGUUGCAUUAGACCCAAAUGACAGUGACUUAAACAAGAUGAAACCUUAGUUUCAACUUUUUCUUAGUUACCCUUCUAGGAGCAGAAUGGAGCUCAAGUCAAAGUCUCAGGCUGUCUUAGCCAAGCCAGGCGACCACUACAACCUCUGUGCUCGAGCAAGAGAGGGACAAGGCAAGAACUGUAUUAGAAGCCUUGAUCUUCCUGCUGGCAUCUGUGACAUCCUCAGCUGCAGAGGCUGCUGGGAAAAUAUUAGGACUUAUUGCAUCUAUAGAUGGGACAGCUGGUGCUGGAGGCAAAAAAGGGUCUGAUAUGUCAGGCAAGGAGUCAGGCAAGGGGGCAUGGGGGCCCAACCUUUGUUGGUCAUCCCGGAUUAGCCUCUGUGUGCAGCAGGAGAGUAAUAACUGCUGCCUGAGUCACUGGGAGGGAGGGCUAGAUGUUUAGUUUUAAUUUUCUUUCAUUUUUUAAUUAGUACAUGUUUGUAGUACAAUGAUUACAUUCGUGUGGGGAGUUGGUCCAGGUAUACAACGCAUCUUAAUUCUUUUUGCAUCCCCUCCACCACUUCCUCCACCUCUUGGGUCCCUUUCCUUUGGAUGUUUAAAUUGAAGCACAGGAAGGGUGCAAAACCAGGGUGGAGUUACAGAGACUAAGGACGGCCCACCCUCAAGGAACAGCUCAUUCCUGAGCGGACUCAGCCCUUGGGAGGCCAAGCUUUGAUGUAUGGGGCUGGCUACAGCCUCUGGCACUCUGAGUUCUGAGCCUAAUCAGGGCAUCCUGCACCAGGAGGCUGUGUCCUUGGAGUGCUGGCCUCUCCUGGAGGGUGUUUCUGGAGCCGUGUCCUCAGUGUUGGUCAACAGUCAUGUGAAAUAUGCUUUCCUUUCACUGCCAAAAUGUUUUUCUAGGACAUAGCCAAUUGAUCACAUCACGCCUCAUUCCUCACAUCAGAGCCAUGUAAGCAGUUUUUAUUAGAGUGUAUUGUAAGGGCAAAACUUUGUCUCCACAGAGCAAAUAGACUGCUUCCUGCAGAUAGUAAGGGGUCGGAUUUCUUCUUCUGGCCUGGCUGCCUGGAGACUUCCUCAUAGCCUCUGUUGCCAGGCAGGCCUUUUAUAUUCCAUUCCCAGGGCCUGGCCUUUAGUUCUAUGUGUUAGUUAUGAAUUUGAAAUGUGCUACCUCCCACGUUCUCCCUAGAAAGAAGCAGGCUAUCAUUAGUGAUAAAAUAGAAAACAAGAGAUCCUUAAUUGGAAGAAAACAAAACCAGCAGCCGUGAGGGGUGGUGCUGUUGCUGACUGGAGUACUGGUGUAGACUUGAGUUUCCCAGCAGCAGGGGGGAAAGGGGAGUGGCUAGGAGACCCGCUCUGAAAGAAGCAAGCAGUGUGGGGAGAGUUUCAAGGCAGCAAAACAGGAAGCCCUGAGAUGACAAGGUGGGGUGCGGUCUGCAGCACCCCAGAGUGCGGGCAGAUGAGGGGCCUGGGCACUGAUUUCAGUUCUACUACUGAAGCUGUGUGACCCUAGACAAGUCACUCAGCUUUUCUGGGCAUCAGUGUAGUAAUAGAAACUGCCACAUGGUGUUGGGAGAGUUUGCUGUUUGAGUUUAUACACAGGAGAGGGAAGAAUAGAGCCUGGUGCUUAGUAAAUGCCCCAUAACUGGGAGCUUGCAUUGUGUUUAUUAUGGUUGGAGGAGGGACGGGGAGGAGGAAGAGCAGGUGCUCCAGAGGCAUCUGGCUCUGAGCAAAGCUGCCAAAGUUGCAGAAGUGGAGUGUGGGUAGGAUGAAGCUGUGUAAACCGCCAGUGUGUUCUGGCCCUCAGAAGAUGGAGCCUGGGAUUCCAGCAGGGAGUCAGGGUGGGUGCUGGCCUCCGCUGCUUCAGGCGCUGCAUCCCAGGCCGGCCUCACUGUGAGCUGCUGGGUCCUGCAUUGCAUCCCUCUUCCCUCCUCUUGCCCUGGGGUGGGAGCAGGGCUGGAUUCCGAGGCGCACUGGCCCUUUGAGGCAGGCCCUCAGGCUGACCCUGAUGAUAAAUGGGCCCUGAUCCAAAGGAAGGUGGCCUGGUCCUUUCACUGUGAGGACAGGCUGGGAACAGAGUGUUCCUUCCAAACACCCAGGGGACUUGAGGGUGGGCACUGACAAAGGCCAGGCCUCUGUUAACCACGUGACUGUCAGGCAGUUAGGAUUGGGAAUUAGGCCGCAAGCAGGAGCUCUAGAGAUCAGAGAUGUUAGGACCCUGGAGAUCAGGGGGGAAAGUAGGAGACAGGGAGGAGGGUCAGUCAGGGAGGCUGAGAGGAAAGGCUAUAAGGACACUUUGGGAAGUGAUGGGAACUUAUUAUCUGGAUUGCAGCAAUGGUAUCAGGAGGUAUGUGAUAGAACUGUGGGGGGAGAAAGAGGAGGAGGAGGACCGGCAGCGGCUGAAAAGAUAAGAAGUAUGAAAUAUAAAUAACCUUAAUUUUGGGAAUGCGGGGAGAGACAACCCUGACCCCCUGGGGCGUGGCAUCUCCAUCCCGGGGUGGCUAUCUCUCCGUGGAACACGUGGAGUGAGGCACAUAAGUACCUCGGCUUGGGGUGGAACCUAAGGGGGCAUUAGGGAUGCACAGGUAGCCCAUUGGUCUUAGUUUGGCGCCAGAGGUAAAUUCCUAGGGGUGGGGGGAGAUGGGAGCUUCCUGGCUUUACCGGCUACAGUAUUCGGCCGGGCCAAAACUCUUUCAGUGUGUUUUAUCCAAACCAUCAAGCUGUGUGCACUCAGCAUGUGCAUGUUUCUAUAUAUAAGUUAUAUCAUAAUGAAGCUGUAAAAAAAACUUCCAUAACUAAGAAAGUGAUAACUCGGUAAGAAAACAUGAGUGAGAAUUAGACAGCCACGUUAUAAAGGAUAUUACCCAAAUGGCUAGUGGCAAAAAGUGAAAACAUGGUUUACCCUUAACGAUCAUUAGGGAUAUGAAAAAGCACCAUGAGGUUUCCACCAGCCUGACUAAAACUAAAAAGAUGAACAAGCAUUAGUGUUGGUGAGGAUUUGGAGCAGCAGAAUUUCUUACAUGCUCCUGGUGAUUGUAUAAGUUGGUAGAGUCACUUUGGAAAAUAGUUUAAUGUUAAGUUUCUCUCUGUCUCUCCCCCUCCUUCCUUCCCUCCCUCCAUUUUUCUCUUCCUCCUUCCCUCCAUGCAUGUGCUUGCUUGCCUGCCUGCCUCCCCCCCCCCCCCGCCCAUCCCUUACAGUGGGAACAGAGACUCCCUGGAGGGGACAGUGGGAGGAGACUGAACACCAGCUGAACACCAACUCCUGGCAGGGCUGCUGGGAAUGGGGUCAACUCACUGGCCUGGUGGAUCCGGACCCUUGGAAUGAGAUGGCCCACAGCAAGCUGAAAUGCCAGAGCUGCUGUGGCAGUGGAGGAAGGGAAUGAGAGCUCUGGGAAGGGCAGUGUAGGAUGGGUAGACUAUGUACAGCCAGAAGAUCAUCCACAUCGUGACACAUGGUUCUUGGGAAGGACCAAAGGUCACAGUGCUUAUACACCAAGGGCCAAAGAAAUGAACUGGUGAGAGGCCACGGGCCUUAUACACUCUGAGGAGGCUUCUCCUCUGCAGGUCAGGCUGGUGAUAGCUCUGGGGGACAGGGCUUGAUUGGCAGGGACUGGAGGUGCUGCUUGACAGAAUGAAAUGAGUGCAGGGAUCUGCAGAGAGCUGGGGAUGCUUACAGCAUGUGGGGGCCCUCAGGUAAGAAGACACACAGCCAGUCUGGAAAAGCCAGGAAGGUGUACAAGAACUGGGCAGCCUGUGGCUUCACUCAGGUUCUAGACCUAGAGACAAAGGAGAAGAAUAAAGGAGGAGGAAACAGCUCUUUGAGAAAUCACCAGUGACACUGCAGCAUGCACAGUCUCAGCAAGACUUUCAGCCAUUUACAUGGACAGCUGUAUUGUGGGAAAGGGGAAAAACUCAAACAUUUAAGUCUUGUAGGAUGUGUCCAGAUAGUGGUGGCCUGUGUUUCACUGAAACUUCUCCUGGGCUGGGGGAUUCAUCGUCCUCCCUGAGUAUGACAACUCAUUUAUUCAUUUAUGUUUUGGGUACUGGGCAUUGAACCCAGGGUUUUGUGUAGGCUAAGCAAAUGCUCUACCAUUGAGCUACAUCCCUGGUCCUUGUUAUUUUAUUUUGAGUCAGCAUCUUGGUAAGUUACUAGGCUGGGCAACUUGCAAUUUUCUUGCCUCCGCCUCUCAAGUAACUCAAAUUACAAGUGAGUACCACCAUGCCCAGGAUGGUGAUUCGCUUCUAGUGAAUGGGAAGAUGACUGUUAUGGUUUGUGUUUAAAUGUCUCCCCAAAGCCUCAUGUAGUCAUGGGGAUGGGCCUUUUGAAGGCAGCUGAACCUAGCGUUUGUGAUUGGUUUGUUGUCUAGCCCUGGGAUUGGCAGCGUGAGCACUGUGCCUGCCCAGCUGUGGGGAGCUGGCCUACAAUAUAGGGGAGGGAAUGAGGCGGGCUUUUCCCUUUUGUCCCUUCCACUGCUGUUGCUGGUGGCCACCAUGCCCUUCAGCCAUGCUACCCUGCCUUAGAACCAGCUGGGUAUGGACUGAAACCUCUAAAAACUGUAAGCUAAAUAAACCUUUCCUUCCUUCAUUUUGGGCAUUUUGGAUUGGGCAUUUUGUCCCAGCAAUGAAAGGAAAGUAACCAAGACAAUGACUCACUUCCAAGGCGAGCUAAGGAAUAGGCAAAAUUCUCUGAAAAGGGCUGAGUAAAUGUUCUUGGCCUUGUGAUCUAAGUGGCUUCUUUUUGAUUUCUUAACUCAGCCACCACAAUGGGAAAUUAGCAUAGAGGCCACCUAAAAGAACAGGUGUGUCCAGAUUUGGCUAGACUGGGUUGGCUUUAGCCAACAGGUGUAGCACACUGACUCCUGGUCUCAUUUGUAAGGGCUCUGUGACUCUUGGUGGGACUCAGCUUCCAUAUCACGAGGACAUGUGCAGCCUGUAGAGAGGUCCAUGUGGGCUCGGCUGAGGACCUGAGCCCUUCUGUGAGUAGCCAUGUGAGGAGUUAUAUCAGAAACAGGCAUGCCUCUGUAAUGCCUCCAGAUGACAGCCAACCCUGCCAGCCUCUUGACCACAGUGAGGAGGCCUGGGGCCACCAGCAAUGAAAACAAAAUGAACAGGAGAGAAGGGCUCAAGGCUCCUCAGCUGGUCCUUUUUAUUUUUAUUCUGCAGCUGCCCCAAUGCCUUGCAGUUAGCCCAGGAACCUUGAGGCCUUUCUGGAAGAUAUUUGCUUUAGCUGCAGCGGGCUUUGGAUGUGGAUGUAUCCAGGUUGACUGCCCUGUGGCCCCUCUGGGUGACUUUCCCCCUCUGCAGCCCUCUUCGGUCAAGUCUACAAGGAGCCCCUUCUCUACCAGUGAUGGCCUAUACAAGCCAACCCCCCAUUCCCUUAAUGGGUUCAGUUGUCCCCUUGUGCUGCAGUGUAAGUCCUAAUAGAUCCUCUUCUGGAUUACAUAUAUAUAUAUUCUUUUUUUUGCCUAUGUAUGAUUUCUAUUUUGAGCAAUGCUUGUUGAUCUGCUAGCACCAAGAACUGAUAACCCCAAAGACCUCUAAUAUUGAACACAGCCAGCACCGGCACCCAGACCUUCUAAGUUUAAAAGUUAUUGGUGCUAAAAGUGGCCGGUGGCUGGGGCUCAUAGUAUUGAAGGCAGCUCGCAGCCAGAGCACUUUGGAGAAAAACAGAAUUGCAGGACCUGCUAUCUCUGGUCACAGGAAGAGUUCUGAGGAUGCUAAUGGUUGCUGGUUGCUGGUAGAAGCAAGGAGGCCAGUAAUACUAACAACUGAUGGCCACCAGCAUUCAUAGCUCAGGUGGUUAACACUGAAAGAGCUACAGUUGGCCAAUUAGUGACUUCUACAUGAAUUGAGCAAGAACCCACGGCCAUUUGGUAACAUCUUAGCCUGUACAUGGAGCCUCCCCCAUAGAGAACUCUAAAGAAGAGGGCAGCUGGUGGCGAUAGUCAUAGUGGCUCAAGAAUUGGCCCAGGCCUGACUGCUACCUAGGAAUCCAUCUUAGUCAGUGACAGUAUGAAGGAUGAAAGGGGCACAGGUAGGCAGGUGUCAUAGGCAAAGUCUGGGUUAAAAUUGCUUAUAAUUUAUUACAUACCUAGUGGUUAUUUCCGAGUGUAUAAUUGGGGUUGACACACUUGGAACAAGUGGAAGUCUUACAUUGAAUCCUUGGUUUGUGGGGUAGGGCUGCCAGAGGGGAAAAGGCCAAGUGGAGCGCUCCACAAUGCUCCUCACCACCCCUAACCAAGGGUAUAAAUUAAAAACCAAUCUCUCUUGCAGGGAUGAUCAUUAACGCCAUCCUUCAGCAUCCAAAGGGCUCAGAGGUAAUGGUCCCUAACUCACCUACCUGGUCUCAGCAGAAACAGGCACAACCUGGCAGAAGGAUGAGGUCACCACCUAUGUGACCAAGCAGGAGCUCCACUUAGAACUGCCCUGCCAGCUGUGGGGUUGGCUAGAAAAGAUGGGCCUUGCUGCAGAUACUUAGCAUAUAAACACCGAUUGUACAGAUGUGUUCUCUUCCAAUCCAAUCAGCAAAGAGGAUGAUGAGACAGCGCUCACGGGGCGAAUGGGGCACUAGUACACUUGGCAACUUUGCCAAGGAUUGUUCAAAUCUCCUGCGCUCGCUCUCUCUCUCUCUCUCUCUCUCUCUCUCUCUCUCUCUCUUUUUGUUACUAACGAUUAAACUCACAACCUUGCACUUACCAGGCAAGCGCUUGAGCUACUGAGCUAUCCGGGAGGUCUCAGCAACACACAGGGGCUUCCAAGGGAUGGGAGAUAAAUCCCACAAAGAGCCAGUGGACUGUGAAAACUGGAGAGUCUUCAGGUGUCCAGUGAUCAGAGAGCAGGAUGUCUCUCCUAAAGCAACUGAAGGGGGAAUUGGGAGAUCUCUUCUCUGAUGCAUUAUUUGGAAGUAUUUGAGGUAUUCUAGUGGAGAUGUGAGUGGGCCAGGCUGAGUCUGGAGCUCAGCCCAUGUGUCUCUUGUGCGUGUCACUGGGGGGAAUGGAGCCAGCGUAGGUAUCUAUCAUCACUGACUUUCACUGCCAUCUGUACUUGUGAUGCUUUCUAGUCUUGGCAUCUCUCUCCGUCUCUACCUCUUGCAUUUCCCUGAUCACUGCCUGUCUCCUGUGACCCACUGCAUUCACACAAUCAGGCCCACAGUGUCACUGCUGAGCUCCCAGGGCUGGGGGGAAGCAGCAGGGAACUCUUGCCCAUGUGGCAUAGGCAAAAGCUGGGCAGUGUUUGUCCAGGAGCUUCAGGGCCCUGUUUUCUGAGCCCUUGAUGCCUUCUGCUCUCUGCUGGCAAAUCUGCUUCCUUUUUAGUAGAGCCUGGGCACAAGGAGACUGGCAGAGCUUGGGUUCCAAGCUGAUCUCUGCCCUGACCUUGUGGGAAAAGGCUUUUCCCUUCUCUGGGUCUCAGUUUCUUCAUGUUUCAAACUGGGUAAUUAGAUCCAUUGACCUUUCAGGCCCCGUCCAGCCCUGCUGUUCAGUUCCCACCCAAGGAAGGUUAAAGGUGGGCAGCCUUUUCGCAGCAGGGUUUUCACGUUAAACACUGUUCAUUUCUUGUGGGGCUGUCCUAAUAUUAUCACUAGCCUGACAGUUCCAGGGGCCAAUCAAGGCAUCUGAAGGCUCCUGGGCAUAUUUUUCCUCGCCUCUCCUGACUUCCAGCAGCUGUAGCGUCCCUUGGCUGUGGUUGCCUCCCUCUUAACUGUGCCCCCCCUCCCCAACUCCUUCCCCUCCUCCGUGUCCAUGCCUUUGUUUCUGGCUUCCAAGGACAUCUGUUAUUGCAUUUAGAGCCUUCUUUGCAAUACAGUGACCUCCCUGGGAACUUUUGCAUUCCAUCUACAAAGACAUUGUGCCACAUUAAUCCCAGGUUCUGGACAUGGGUUAUCUUUCCAGGUCAUCAUUUACCCACUACAAGGACUAAUGUUUUAGAUCUCAGCAAUCUGUCCCUGUGAGUGAGAAGAGAGAAGAGGAGAGGGCCUUGUGGGCUCCUAAAGAUCACUGAAAUGACUGAAGCUUGCCUGGCCGCUGCCUCUGCUGCAGGCUGAAAUGCACCUCUCCCAGUCUCCUAGGACUGCGAGUUACAUGGGCCGAGGGGCUGAGACAGCUGCCGAAAGGGGGGACUGAGCAACGGGGCUGCAGAGCCAACAGGCAAGGAGUGGGCAUCGCUGUCAUUGGGCUUGUUAACUCCCACCUCUUCUGGCUGGUGGGGUGGGGUGGGGGUGGAGGUGUCUGCCAAAUACCUUGGACAGACAGAUUUUUCUCCAUUGGCUCACAUGCCUCUCAGCUCAGGCCCACAGUGCUAGCUCAUUGGUUGGCCCAACUGCCAACUCUGACUGGGACACAAUCCUGGCCAAUUACGUCCCAAGGCUCCCUGCUCCUGGUAAGGAACAUCUAACCACUUUCAGAGUCUGCCAUCACAGCAAGCCACUUUGCCUCUCCAGCCUGUGAAAACAGAAUUCCUUUCCUAAAAUGCUUUCCCUGCUGGCUGUUCCUUGAAGCUACCUUUAGACGCUCUCCCUCUGGGCUCUUUCUGACACUGCCCUCUCUUGGAAUGAAUCUCUUCCUUCCAGCAACCCAGACCCUAGCUAUCUGUAAAUCCCAGCUCUGUGACUCUUCUUGUAAGCAGCCUUUGCAGGUUCCCAAGGUGGACGUGACCAUUUUGUAUCCUGUCUCUCUUUUAAGUCACGUCCUGCUUUCCAUCUUGUCCCCUUGCUAUUUAUGCACAGGUCUCCUUUCUAAUACUGAGGUCACCCCUGUUGUCAAGAGCUGCAUCAGUUCACUUUUAUUAUUAUUACUGUUUUAGCUCUCUUUUAGAUCUAAGCAUCUCACACAGUGUUUAGCACAUAGCAUUUGCUUUCUUUUCCAAGUGUGGGCUGGAGAUGCAGCUCAGUGUACAGCAUUUUGGCUACUGCGUGUGAAGCAAACAAAUGUGGAGGCCCAGCCUGACACAGUACAGAGCAGGUAAUAAUUAAUAUGAAUAAAUUGACACAAAAAUAAAUUGAGAGCCUGUCCUAGGCCUACAUGGCUUUGUGGUGAGACCCCUGGCUGGCUUAAGGACCGAUUAAUCUUUAAACCAAUGCCAUUGCUUCUUGGCCUUUUGGCUGAGAUCAAGUGAAGCUGCUGGCCAGAGCUGAGGCUGGCAAAUAGUCUGCGAAGUUGUGGCACCACAAACCAAGAUAACAGGACCAUGGAAGACUUGACUUGCAAAUUCUGUCUAACACAGUAGUCAAAGUUAGCAGACAAUCAGGUUAGUAGUUAACCCCGAUCUGUUCCUGUGUGCUUUUCCAAAAAUGCAUUGUUCCUCAGUUCUUAAACAUUGAAUUGCAGCGGGUUCACCUGGCAGUUCACCUCCAUUGAUUCCUGCAGCCCACCAGCACACCCCGAAUCAUGCUGUGCAUCAGAAAAAGGCAAGGACACCAGUACCACAUGUCCUAGCCCGUCACUGGACUUUGAUCUUCCAGAUGCCCUUUGUAACUAAAAUAUAUGUUUUUUCUGGGUUUUAUUCUGUUGUACUUCUGAGCAGAUUGGUGGGCCUAGGCCAAGGCCCUGAUGAACAAACAAACAAACUCAAAUGAGUAAAAUAUCUCUUUGCAGUUCUUGCGUAUUGCUGUUCAGUAGCUCCAGCGGCAGGAUUCUAAAAUACAGCCACACAGCUUUCUGACCUUGGAGUUGAUCUCAUUCUCUGGUGGAAUGGAGUUGGUGCAGGAACAAGCUCAGGUUUCCUUGCAGGUCUUUUCCUCUGGGAUGGCUGUGGUUCACUGUGGGUGGUCUGAAUCCUUGUGUGAUGAAGAGUCAGUUUGAAAUGUUGAAAACUUUAUCUUAAAGAAUGAAUGAACUAGGUGCGUUCAUGCAGCCUAUAAUUCCAGCUACUUGGGAGGUGGAAGAAAGCGGAUGGCAAAUUUGAGGCCACCUGGGCAGCUUAGUGGGACCAUGUCUCAAAAUGGAGUUAAAAAGAGCAGCUCAGUGACAGGGUACUUGCCUAGCAUGCUUGAGGCCCAAGGUUCAACUCCUAGUACAGAAAUGCAUAAAGUGAACAACACAAAACAAUUAAUGAAAUUCAAACAGCAUAUUUUAUAUCUGUAAGUUAUCACACACAACUUUUUUUGUUUUGAGACAAGGUCUUCCUUUGUCAUUCAGGCUGAACUCACUAUGUGUCCCAGGCUGGCUUUGAACUAGUGAUGAUCCUUCUGCCCUAGCCUCCUGAGUGCUAGGGUUGUAGGCAUGUACCACUAUGCCUGGCUCAUGUGCCACCCAGCAUAAGGCAAAGACAAGGGACUACGGGAAGCCUGAGGAACUGUCAGGUCUCAGAGCUCUGCAUGUUGCCUGUGUUCAUGCUACCUAGCAACUGAGAUCCUUGCACAAAAGACAAGGUUUCAGUUCUGUUACAAGCUGUCUUCUGAUUGGUAACCAGAUUAAGGAGACUCGAUGAGCAAAAGCUGAAUGACAUCUGUAUGGGCAGCAGGGAGCUGGUUUUUUUUUUUGAGAUGUGAUCUUACUGUAUUGCCCAGGUUGGUCUCAACCUCCUGAGCUCAACAGAUCUUCCUGCUUCAGCCUUCAGAGUAGCUGGGACUACUGACAUGCACCACAACACCUAAUUAGUAUAGGAUCUUCUUCUUUUUAAAAUCUUAGGCAUGGCUGUGGCAGCCCCAGAGAGAAAACCACCAGUUGUUUCCUGAGCUCUGUGCCGUGUUGGAACUUAGGAUGCUGGGAAAACAAGCAACCAGCUCACCUCCCUGGUAAGCAAUAGUGAGCCUACCGGUGCACAGGCUUAGAGUCAAACAUUCCACACACCCCCCCCCCCCCCCCGUUAGCAAAUGGGAGCCAGAGAUCUGAGCAUCUCUUGGGAGGCUGACCAUAUGCAAUAUAGCAAAUAAGGGGGGUUUCCUUCUACCAUCUUUUUUUUUUCUUUUUUAUCGGUACCAGGGAUUGAACUCAUGACCACACACUUGCAAGGCAGGUGCUUAUGCCACUGAGCUAAAUACCCAGCCCCUCUACCAUCUUUUUUGAAGGCAAAUAUUUUUACUAUUUUGCUUUAUUCUGAUUAAUGGUACUGUUCUAUUCAAUGUUCUGUUUAUUAAGUUCUAUAAUGUUUUGUAUUCCAUUUUAUUUUGCUAUAAGGAAUUGAAAGAACAACUAUUGUGAUGAUGAAAUAUACUGUGAUACCUACUGCUGUUAUCCUGGUAACCUGCUGUGGAGUUCUGUACCAAUUUCUCUACAUUGUCUCAAUUGGCUUUGUUCUGUCUUGUUCUGUUGUAUUUUACUACCUUCAAAAUAAUAAAAUAAAAUAAAAAAUAAAAUCUUAGGCAGGAGGAUUGCCACAAGUUCAAGGCCA